Molecule: ribosomal RNA, 497 nt
Filed under: uncultured bacterium
Lineage: Bacteria
Description: partial 16S ribosomal RNA
Rfam family: Bacterial small subunit ribosomal RNA
Source: RNAcentral
GAUGAACGCUGGCGGCGUGCCUAAUACAUGCAAGUCGAGCGAACGGACGAGAAGCUUGCUUUUCUGAUGUUAGCGGCGGACGGGUGAGUAACACGUGGAUAACCUACCUAUAAGACUGGGAUAACUUCGGGAAACCGGAGCUAAUACCGGAUAAUAUUUUGAACCGCAUGGUUCAAAAGUGAAAGACGGUCUUGCUGUCACUUAUAGAUGGAUCCGCGCUGCAUUAGCUAGUUGGUAAGGUAACGGCUUACCAAGGCAACGAUGCAUAGCCGACCUGAGAGGGUGAUAGGCCACACUGGAACUGAGACACGGUCCAGACUCCUACGGGAGGCAGCAGUAGGGAAUCUUCCGCAAAGGGCGAAAGCCUGACGGAGCAACGCCGCGUGAGUGAUGAAGGUCUUCGGAUCGUAAAACUCUGUUAUUAGGGAAGAACAUAUGUGUAAGUAACUGUGCACAUCUUGACGGUACCUAAUCAGAAAGCCACGGCUAACUACGUG